AAAAAUUGAAGAAAAUUUCUUUAAUAACGAUUGUUUAUUGCCACUAUAAAGUACUUAUAGUACUUUGAACUAUGAGACGUGUUAUCAGUAUCCAAAUAUGCUUAGCUGUUUCUAUUUGUAUACAGCUUUCAGUCUUUUGUAUUGGUUUAAAGAGAAAAAAUAAGGUUUAUUAGAAGUAUAAUCUGACAAUGUAAAAUUGGUUUAGUUUAUUCCAGAAAAUUAUUGUAAAUUCAAUUAUUUAUUUACUUUUUAACACUGUUGCAUACAGAAAUAUAAUACAAUUGACAUAAUUGGUAAGGUGGUCGACUGGCGGACUUAUCGCUUUUGAGAAAUCUCUUCAAGGCAAACACUGAGAAAAUUAUCUUCAGGCUACGCGAACACCUGGCGUAUUAUUUGCUAUAAAGCAGGUGCUGACGGGCGGCUUCUAUCAGAUAUCCUGAAUAAGCAGCUGCCUGGGCCGUGGUUGAAGAAACUAAGACCAAGCAUGGGGAUUUGGUAAGCGGAGGUAGCUAGCUCCAGGAGGAAGACCGUUAAGUCCGUGUCUUUGUAUGUAUAAAAAGUAAAAUCUUCUUGACAUUGUCACAAUCGAAAGUAAAAAAAUAACUUUUCGAGUCGAUUUGUUUUGAAUUAAAAUAUUAUAGAUGAUGUAAUUCUAACAUCGUCCAUGUACAAGGUAAUAACCGCUCGUAUGGCGAAAACAACGUGAGGAAAGCGAACGAAGAAAUCUCAGGCCCAGACCUAAAAGGUUGUACCACCAAUCCACUCCACUGUGUUUUAAAAUAUAAAUUGUGGUAUUUACUCCUGAUACUCUCAAUAAAUAAGGGCGCCUAUGUAUGGGUUGGGAAAAACUGAUUUGAAUUAUUACAAUAAUUUUACCCGAGCCGGCCCGAGCGAAAGAUUAUGUUAAUCUGUAAAUAUGUAUCAAGUAAAUUGCUGAAUAUGCUUUAUUGUACAAUGACGUAUAUUAUGUCAGAUUUUUGGGAGAAAUGUACCCAGAAAUUGACGAAAAUGAAUUAGUAGAUACGGAGUUGCUGCAUCUGGCACAGGACAGGACUGACGGCCAACAUCCAGUUAUGGAGAAGCAAUAAACGAAGAAGAAGUAGAUACAUAGGGCUUGAGAUACGUGAAAAUCCUAAAACGUGUAUUUUCUUUACAUAUGUCGAUAUAUUUUCAAAUAAAACCGCUAUAAAAUAUUUUUGUAUCACGAUUACAAUAAAUGCGAUGCGCACAUAUAUUUUA
Pieris brassicae (large cabbage white) is the source of this 1239-nucleotide long non-coding RNA. RefSeq lists it as uncharacterized. The record is from RefSeq and is a predicted model, not a curated record. NCBI's taxonomy places the organism in Eukaryota, Metazoa, Arthropoda, Insecta, Lepidoptera, Pieridae. The transcript is spliced from 2 exons.